CUUGACUAUGCCGUCGACCGGUCUAGAGAUAGAUCUUUAUCCUUCGGGGUACAGCGGACACAGGUGGUGCAUGGUUGUCGUUCAGCUCGUGUCGUGAGAUGUUGGGUUAAGUCCCGCAACGAGCGCAACCCUUGUCUUUAGUUGCCAUCAUUAAGUUGGGCACUCUAAAGAGACUGCCGAUGACAAAUCGGAGGAAGGUGGGGAUGACGUCAAAUCAUCAUGCCCUUUAUGUCCUGGGCUACACACGUGCUACAAUGGUCGGUACAACGAGAAGCAAGCCAGCGAUGGCAAGCAAAUCUCUAAAAGCCAAUCCCAGUUCGGAUUGCAGGCUGCAACUCGCCUGCAUGAAGUCGGAGUUGCUAGUAAUCGCGGAUCAGAAUGCCGCGGUGAAUGCGUUCCCGGGUCUU
RNAcentral lists this ribosomal RNA (407 nucleotides) under uncultured Eubacteriales bacterium. RNAcentral describes it as "bacterial SSU rRNA". It matches the Rfam family "Bacterial small subunit ribosomal RNA", at positions 980 to 1382 of the family's 1533-position model. Lineage: Bacteria; Bacillati; Bacillota; Clostridia; Eubacteriales. The record is from RNAcentral.